RNAcentral lists this long non-coding RNA (994 nucleotides) under Zostera marina. RNAcentral's name for it is "long non-coding RNA (ZMAR_LNC005349)". The record is from RNAcentral. Lineage: Eukaryota; Viridiplantae; Streptophyta; Magnoliopsida; Alismatales; Zosteraceae.
AUGAUUCUAUUAGUAUAUGUAGAUAACCUAGUGUUGACAAGGUCAAACAAAGAAUUAAUAGAAUAGUUCAUAGAAUGUCUAGAAAAAGAUUUUGCUGUUAAAGAUAUAGAAAAACUUCAAUAUUUUUAAGAAUUGAAGUAAUUUACAGUUGAGAUAGAUACAAAAGAUAAGGAAACAGCGUAUAGUGAUGAAUUUCAUGAUAAAACAUUGUAUAAAUACAAAAAUCAUUAAUGAUAUACAAUAUUUUGAUAGAAAUUCCAUUUGCUAAAUGUCAGCCCACCUCGAGAUCAUUUUCACCGCCGGUUGUUCAAAGAAAACGUAAACAAUAGGACAGAUGGGAGACCGUUGGAUUUAAAAUUCUGAAAUGCUAAUGCCUCAACGCACGAUGGCGCAUACAGUGGGUGGCGCAUCAGAUAUAAUACCUAUAAAAUAAUUCAUUCAUCUCCUUUGAUCACAAGCUUCAGAAGAAAAAAUCGAGUCAUCUGCAUCCCCAUAUUUCUCCAUUAAUAUAGCCUAAGUAUCGAGCUAGCUGAGUGUACGCGACUAGCUGAGUGUAUGCUAAUAUAGCCUUAGAGGUACGCGACUUUUACAAACUCAAAAUAGAGAGAGCACGAGUGUAUGACUGGAGUUUCUCCGAAAACCACAGAUCUAGAUCGAAACAUUCAUAAAAUGUUAGCAUACUGAAACAUGUAAAAAAAAUAGAAAGAUGGCGUAAACCUAGAUAUUAGGAAAGUUUAUAGGAUCGAGCUAGGAAGGUAAAUAUAUUAUUACCUUCUGAAAGUUGGUGGUCGGAAUCCGUAAACAACAUAUGUACGUUGUAGGAUUGCCUACAACAACAACAAUGGCGACGACGACAAUGUAGAUCGAGAAUGGUUAAAACAUAGAGAACAUAAGGAAAAUUACAAACCCUAGGUAAAACGAAUGGUGGCGGUGAGAGAUGGUAAGGAGACGAUGAAAAUCGACUCAGAUCUUCACUUUAAAUAGAAUUUUUGAC